CAUUAAAUAUCUUAAGUUUAAAGAAUUGAUUUUUUAAAUCAAAUAUAAUAAUUAAUUAUUUUUAUUGA
This 68-nucleotide transfer RNA is filed under the name Betylobracon waterhousei. RNAcentral describes it as "tRNA-Lys". Lineage: Eukaryota; Metazoa; Arthropoda; Insecta; Hymenoptera; Braconidae. The record is from RNAcentral.